AGAACGACUCUCGGCAACGGAUAUCUCGGCUCUCGCAUCGAUGAAGAACGUAGCGAAAUGCGAUACUUGGUGUGAAUUGCAGAAUCCCGUGAACCAUCGAGUCUUUGAACGCAAGUUGCGCCCGAAGCCUUCUGGCCGAGGGCACGUCUGUCUGGCCGUCACGC
RNAcentral lists this ribosomal RNA (164 nucleotides) under Rheum palmatum. RNAcentral describes it as "5.8S ribosomal RNA". It matches the Rfam family "5.8S ribosomal RNA". Rfam says of the family: 5.8S ribosomal RNA (5.8S rRNA) is a component of the large subunit of the eukaryotic ribosome. It is transcribed by RNA polymerase I as part of the 45S precursor that also contains 18S and 28S rRNA. Functionally, it is thought that 5.8S rRNA may be involved in ribosome translocation. Lineage: Eukaryota; Viridiplantae; Streptophyta; Magnoliopsida; Caryophyllales; Polygonaceae. The record is from RNAcentral.